Molecule: long non-coding RNA, 203 nt
Filed under: Mytilus galloprovincialis (Mediterranean mussel)
Lineage: Eukaryota; Metazoa; Mollusca; Bivalvia; Mytilida; Mytilidae
Source: RNAcentral
CAAAAAACAAAAUCGGGGUAACAAACUAAAACUGAGGGAAACGCAUUAAAUAUAAGAGGAGAACAACGACACAACAUUAAAAUGUAACACACACACACACACACACACACACACACACACACACACACACACACACACACAGAAACGGACUAAGCAUUAGACAAAAUCCUAUUAGAUUAACAAAUAUAACAUCAAAACCAAAU